AGGAUAAUAGUUAAUCAUAACAUUUAAUUUGCAUUUAAAAAGUAUUGUUAAUUACAAUUUAUCUUU
RNAcentral lists this transfer RNA (66 nucleotides) under Staphylinidae sp. BMNH 1274637. Its description in RNAcentral is "tRNA-Ala". The record is from RNAcentral. Lineage: Eukaryota; Metazoa; Arthropoda; Insecta; Coleoptera; Staphylinidae.